UCCACCCGGUCCCUUCCCGAACCCGGUCGUUAAGCCCGCCAGCGCCCAUGGUACUGCCCCGGCAGCGGGGUGGGAGAGUAGGUCAUCGCCAAGA
This 94-nucleotide ribosomal RNA is filed under the name Chloroflexota bacterium. The record is from RNAcentral. Lineage: Bacteria; Bacillati; Chloroflexota.